AUUCUUUUAGUAUAUUUGUAUAAUUGUCUUCCAAACAAGUGGUUUAAGUUUUUUAAAAAGGAUA
RNAcentral lists this transfer RNA (64 nucleotides) under Viana regina. Its description in RNAcentral is "tRNA-Gly". Lineage: Eukaryota; Metazoa; Mollusca; Gastropoda; Cycloneritida; Helicinidae. The record is from RNAcentral.